GUGCUUGCUUCAGCAGCACAUAUACUAAAAUUGGAACUAUACACAGAAGAUUAGCAUGGCCACUGCACAAAGAUGACAUGCAAAUUCAUGAAAUACCACGUAUGUUU
Molecule: small nuclear RNA, 107 nt
Filed under: Chinchilla lanigera (long-tailed chinchilla)
Lineage: Eukaryota; Metazoa; Chordata; Mammalia; Rodentia; Chinchillidae
Source: RNAcentral